Molecule: transfer RNA, 85 nt
Filed under: Saprospiraceae bacterium
Lineage: Bacteria; Pseudomonadati; Bacteroidota; Saprospiria; Saprospirales; Saprospiraceae
Also listed under: 2 other names
Description: tRNA-Ser
Rfam family: tRNA
About the family: Transfer RNA (tRNA) molecules are approximately 80 nucleotides in length. Their secondary structure includes four short double-helical elements and three loops (D, anti-codon, and T loops).
Source: RNAcentral
GGAAGAGUGGCAGAGUGGUCGAUCGCGGCGGUCUUGAAAACCGUUGACUGUUAAAGGUCCGGGGGUUCGAAUCCCUCCUCUUCCG